This 496-nucleotide ribosomal RNA is filed under the name uncultured bacterium. RNAcentral describes it as "partial 16S ribosomal RNA". It matches the Rfam family "Bacterial small subunit ribosomal RNA", at positions 28 to 506 of the family's 1533-position model. The record is from RNAcentral.
GAUGAACGCUGGCGGCGUGCCUAAUACAUGCAAGUCGAGCGAACAGACGAGGAGCUUGCUCCUUCGACGUUAGCGGCGGACGGGUGAGUAACACGUAGGUAACCUACCUAUAAGACUGGGAUAACUUCGGGAAACCGGAGCUAAUACCGGAUAAUAUUUCGAACCGCAUGGUUCGAUAGUGAAAGAUGGCUUUGCUAUCACUUAUAGAUGGACCUGCGCCGUAUUAGCUAGUUGGUAAGGUAACGGCUUACCAAGGCAACGAUACGUAGCCGACCUGAGAGGGUGAUCGGCCACACUGGAACUGAGACACGGUCCAGACUCCUACGGGAGGCAGCAGUAGGGAAUCUUCCGCAGUGGGCGAAAGCCUGACGGAGCAACGCCGCGUGAGUGAUGAAGGUCCUCGGAUCGUAAAACUCUGUUAUUAGGGAAGAACAAACGUGUAAGUAACUGUGCACGUCUUGACGGUACCUAAUCAGAAAGCCACGGCUAACUACGU